Molecule: ribosomal RNA, 729 nt
Filed under: uncultured Smithella sp.
Lineage: Bacteria; Pseudomonadati; Thermodesulfobacteriota; Syntrophia; Syntrophales; Smithellaceae
Description: bacterial SSU rRNA
Rfam family: Bacterial small subunit ribosomal RNA
Source: RNAcentral
GGCUUCGGCCGAUGAGUAAAGUGGCGCACGGGUGAGUAACGCGUGGAUAAUCUACCCCUCAGUUGGGAAUAACUCAUCGAAAGGUGGGCUAAUACCGAAUAACACUGCAUGACUUCUGUUGUGUAGUCAAAGAUGGCCUCUGCUUGCAAGCUAUCGCUGAAGGAUGAGUCCGCGUACCAUUAGCUAGUUGGUAGGGUAAUGGCCUACCAAGGCAACGAUGGUUAGCUGGUCUGAGAGGAUGAUCAGCCACACUGGAACUGAGACACGGUCCAGACUCCUACGGGAGGCAGCAGUGAGGAAUAUUGCGCAAUGGGGGCAACCCUGACGCAGCAACGCCGCGUGAGUGAGGAAGGUUUUCGGACCGUAAAGCUCUGUCGAGCGGGAAGAAAUGCAUAGUGGCUAAUAUCCAUUAUGCUUGACGGUACCGCUAAAGGAAGCACCGGCUAACUCCGUGCCAGCAGCCGCGGUAAUACGGGGGGUGCUAGCGUUGUUCGGAAUCAUUGGGCGUAAAGAGCGUGUAGGCGGCUGGAUAAGUCAGAUGUGAAAGCCCUGGGCUUAACCUAGGAAGUGCAUUUGAAACUGUUCAGCUUGAGUAAGGGAGAGGAAAGUGGAAUUCCUGGUGUAGAGGUGAAAUUCGUAGAUAUCAGGAGGAACACCGGUGGCGAAGGCGACUUUCUGGCCCUAUACUGACGCUGAGACGCGAGAGCGUGGGUAGCAAACAGGAUUAGA